Long non-coding RNA from Clupea harengus (Atlantic herring), 842 nucleotides. The record is from Ensembl. Lineage: Eukaryota; Metazoa; Chordata; Actinopteri; Clupeiformes; Clupeidae.
CAAGAGGCCCCCCCCUCCAGACGUCAACACUGGGGGGGGCAACAACCGUCUGCCAGGGGGGCAACCACCACGCAGACAACGCAGCGCACACACAAAGGGUCAGAGCAUCUCCCCCUCUAUCAGUGUGCUCUACAUUCUGGAGACAGAUCAGGAAAUUACAACAAAGACCUGCCCUGUACCAGAGGACUGCAGGGCUGGGCGUUACAGCUUCACUGUGCCUUUACAGAGAAACGUCUCCUCCUCUAUGUCAAAUGUUACCUUACACAUGAUCUCUGAGGAGAGUGUGUGUGUUCAGCAGUGUGGUGUGACCCUGGGCCGUCUGUGUCCAGAUCAGACAGGGACAAGCCUCCCUGGCAAACAGGAAGCCAUAACAAAGGGCACAGAUCACCUGUGGUCAGUUCCUGUGCUCGCAUUCCAAGACGUCACCUACCAUUUUCGCGUGUCUUCAUCUGGUGCUGUGAGCUGCAGCAGUGAGGAAGAUGAAGAUCGGGGUGAGGAGGAUGAGGUCUUCUCACCGUACUCUGACUACUUCUUCCUCAUCCAGACCAGCUGCCCCUGAGAUGGAGGCGGCCGAGUCUGUAGGCGGCGUUUUUUAACAACUCCCACUUCGUCCAUUUUUCAGUCUCUCUCUCUCUCUCUUUCUCUCUCUCUCACUCACUCUGUCUCUCCUAGAAAUUGACUGUCAUUUUUCUUAAACUUUUUUGUUGUUUUACCAGGAUUCUUUUCUUUCUUUUGUUUGAAGUUUAAUUUGUUAGAGAUCAUUUCCCCAUAUGACGAGUUCCACACCGUACAAUGGGGCCUAAGAGAGCGGGUACCAGUGUGUGUGUGUGUGUGUGUGUGUG